This is a long non-coding RNA of Apis laboriosa (Himalayan honeybee), 411 nucleotides long. RefSeq lists it as uncharacterized. The record is from RefSeq and is a predicted model, not a curated record. The transcript is spliced from 2 exons. NCBI's taxonomy places the organism in Eukaryota, Metazoa, Arthropoda, Insecta, Hymenoptera, Apidae.
UGAAUAGAUAUUUAAAAUUAUAUAAAUGCAUCACAAGAUGCUUACACAAACCAAUCAAUCGCAAUAAUUAAUGAAACAUCUUCUACUGGAACUCCUACGGAAUUUAAUACCAUUAUUAACAUUACAUAACCACCGCUUGAAAUACAAACCAGAUUAUAAUAAUUUUAAAUAAUGAAAAUUGUAACCCAUGCAAUUGAAUUAUGAAAAUUGCACCAAUACUUUCAUAUAGUGCUAUACCAUCCAUGUUUAUAGUUGCACCAAUUGGUACAAUAAAUCUAGAUAUUUUAGAAGGUAUUCCAAUAUGUUUUAAGCAUGAUAUUGUUACUGGAACUGUAGCUGUACUAAAAUAUAAUUGUUAAAUAUUUAUAAUUUUAUUAAUAAGUAAUAAAAAUAAAAAUAUAUUUAUUUUAA